GAUGAAGAACGCAGCGAAAUGCGAUAAGUAAUGUGAAUUGCAGAGUUCAGUGAAUCAUCGAAUCUUUGAACGCACAUUGCGCCCGUUAGUAUUCUGGCGGGCAUGCCUGUCUGAGCGUCAUUUCAACCCUCACGCCCCUAGGGCGUGGUGUUGGGGAUCGGCCAGCGCCCUCGCGGGCGAGGCCGUCCCCUAAAUCUAGUGGCGGACCCGUCGUGGCCUCCCCUGCGAAGUAGUGAUAUUCCGCAUAGGAGAGCGACGAGCCCCUGCCGUUAAACCCCCAACUUUCUCAGGUUGACCUCAGAUCAGGUAGGAAUACCCGCUGAACUUAAGCAUAUCAAUAAGCGGAGGA
RNAcentral lists this unclassified non-coding RNA (349 nucleotides) under soil metagenome. RNAcentral describes it as "partial contains 5.8S ribosomal RNA, internal transcribed spacer 2, and large subunit ribosomal RNA". The stretch from base 1 to 120 matches the Rfam family "5.8S ribosomal RNA", at positions 35 to 154 of the family's 154-position model. The record is from RNAcentral.